Molecule: ribosomal RNA, 657 nt
Filed under: Graffenrieda bella
Lineage: Eukaryota; Viridiplantae; Streptophyta; Magnoliopsida; Myrtales; Melastomataceae
Description: eukaryotic LSU rRNA
Rfam family: 5.8S ribosomal RNA (bases 239-393)
Source: RNAcentral
GAACGACCCGCGAAACCGUCUUUGCAUAACGAACCGAGCACGCGAGCGCCAAUCGCUCGCGCGUCUCCCGUCGCGUCGGCACGUGCCUUCUCGAGAGGGCCGCGCCGCACCGGCAGACCAACAAUGUCAGCACGGAUCGUGCCAAGGAGCUGUAAAUGCGAGCAUCGCCGUCCCACGCCCCCCUGUCCCACACGACGGCGGGCGGAGGACAAGGGCGAUCUCUGCACAUAGUCUAAAUGACUCUCGGCAACGGAUAUCUAGGCUCCUGCAUCGAUNAAGAACGUAGCGAAAUGCGAUACUGGUGUGAAUUGCAGAAUCCCGCGAACCAUCAAUUCUUUGAACGCAAGUUGCGCCCGAAGCCAAUCGGCCGAGGGCACGCCUGCCUGGGUGUCGUGAUCCCCCUUGGCCCCGGGCACCCGCACGUGCAUCGUCGCGGGAAUGCCCGGGCGCAAGAAUAUGGUCUCCCGCCGGGUCGGCGUGCGCGGCACGUUCGUGGGGGCGGUUGGCCGAAAAUCGAGCAUUGCGGCGACGGGCUCCAUGGCGUUCGGUGGAUCGAACGCGAUUGGCUGCGCUGUGGAUCCGUCUUGCCGCGGGCUCCGGACUACGAUGUUCCCGAGUGCGAUCCCAGGUCAGGCGGGGCUACCCGCUGAGUUUAAG